Molecule: long non-coding RNA, 1568 nt
Filed under: Canis lupus familiaris (dog)
Lineage: Eukaryota; Metazoa; Chordata; Mammalia; Carnivora; Canidae
Description: lncRNA (ENSCAFG00040002497.1)
Source: RNAcentral
UGAGGUAUUAUUUAUAUCUGGUGUCAGGUGGGUGCCAGAUUCAUUCUGUUCAGUGUGGAAACCCAGCUGUGCCGGCGCCACCUGUUGAAGAGACUACUGUCCUCGGUGAGCAGGCUCGGUUCCGGAUAAGCAGCCGUGGAGGCAAGCGUAGGUUAUACCUGGACCGGCUGCCGCUCCCUCCGUCCCCUGGACUCACUAGUCUUGUGCAAGGCUGCUCUGGUGUGCUCACGGGAGCUUUGGUAUAGAUUUUGGAAUCAAGAGUCCUCUAACUUUGUUAUUUUCCAAGGUCGUUUUGGCCUUUCAGGGUCUACUGCAAUACCCCACGGGUGUGAGGCUCACCCUCUUCGUUGCCGCAAAGAAGACCGUUGGGAUUUCGGGGUGGGUUGCGCGGACUCUGCAGGUCACGUCGAGUACUAUUGACGUAAUAACAACAUCACGCCUUCCUUCUUACAAACGGGAUGCCUUUCUCCUUGUUUAGAUUUACUUCAUUUCAGCGGUGCUGGUGGUUUUCAGCCUACAGAUGGUUUGCUGCCUUGGUUAGGCUUACUGCUAAGCAUUUUAUUCUUUUAGAUGCUACUGCAAACGCAGCCCUCCCCCACCUGUGACGGGGGUCCCUCCCUCUGGGGUACAGCUCUCAGAGUUGUCCACGCUGAGCUGUACACACUUCAUCACGGUGCAGGUUUCCUGCCCUGGUUCGGGUUCCCGAGGUGGUUUCUACUUGUGAGUCUCUGUUCUGGUAAGUUGUUAUUCUCUGCAUCCUGUGUCUGUCUCUCCAGUCUUGGGGGCAGUGGUUUGUCCCGCUCCUCCCACCCCCAGUGGAUCCACGAAGAGCUGUUAAUUUUUCAGUCUGCUCAGCUUUUUACUUGCUGUUAGGAGAGUGGUGAAUUGGAAGUGGAACUAGAAGCUGGAAUUUCCCAGCUGCCUUUUUGCAAAAAUAGAUCCAAUUUUGCCUUGAAAGAUAUUUUCACUGGAGAGAACUGUGGGUUGACAGCUUUUUCCUUUCGGCACUCUUCCUGGCCCCAUUCAUAUCCAUGAAACGUCAGCCACUAAUUGAAUUGUGAUUCCCCAUAUUUAACAUGUUGGAUUUCUCUUGUCAUUUGAAGAUUUAGUCUUCGUGUUUGGCUUCAGCCAUUUGACGAUGCCUCAGCACAGCCUUGUUUGUGCCUUGGUACUUACCGAGCAUCUUGAAUCUGUAAACUUAUGUUUUUUAUAGAUGGGAAAGUUCAGCCGUAUCUCCUCAAUACUUGUUCUGUCCCAUUACUCAGUUAUGCGUGUGUAAGACCGUUUGAUGCCACCUACUAGAGACUUUGGGCUUCAAUCUUCUUAUUUUUUUAAACCAACUUUCAUGCUUUGUUUUCCCCACUAUGCUUUUUUUGUAUUUACUGAUCUUUAGGAUCACUUAUUCUUUCUUCUGUCAUCUCCAUUUGGCUAUUAAGUGUGUCUAGAGAAGUCUUUAUUCCAGACAUUAGGUUUUUUCAGUUCUAGAAAUUUUCUCUUUUUUUGUUAUUUCUAUUUUCCUGUGAACAUAUUCUACUUCACUGAGAGUAGUUAUAAAAAGCCAUUUUAAA